CGGCCUACAUGCCGGACGCAAGCCCGUUGGUCUCCAUGUCAGUGAGGUUGCCCCGCAGGUCCUGCUCCUCCUCGAAGGCCUUGAACAGUGAGUUGAAGUUGCCGGCUCCAAAACCCUGGAGCGGGAGAAAGGAGCCAAGGCCCCCGGGGCCCGAGGGAGGCCCCACCUGGAUCUGGGACUUCUUCCUGCCCGGCGCUGGCUCGUUAAUGGGCAUUUUGAUGGACUCCUCGUAAUUGGCCACCACGAUGGACCGCAGAGAGCUGUACUCCGUGUGCACCUGCGUGUCAUCCACGGACCAGAAACGGUGGAACUGCAGGUUCUUCAGAUGAGGACAUUGAGGCACAGAGAAUUUAAGUCACUCACCUGAAGUCACACAGCUAAUAAGAUUGAGAACCAGCAGUCUGCCUCUGGAAUCUACACUCUGAACGUCUAAACUGCCUCUUGAAUACAGUGUUUGAUGCAGAAACUGAGGCUCAGAGAGAGGUUGCAUGGCUACUAAGGGGCAGAGUGUCACUGGAACUCAGGUGUGUGUCAACCAACAUCUGGGCGCACCACUCCAGCAUGGCGGUGUCCUCCAGCCCUGACUGAUGGGGGUCCCUGUCGCAGACAGAGGGCAGGCCGAGCCUCACUGCUUCGUCUCCGCGCCAGCCCAGGUGCGGCCUCACCUGCACGAUGUAGUCACAAUCCUCCACCUCGAAGGCAAUGUCCUUCACUCCGUCGCCGUGUUUCACCAGGUGCCGAGAUCCUUCCGGGAAGAAAACCUGCUCCCUGGCCCAUGCUGAUCUCAGAUGAGGAAACUGAGACUCAGGAAGAUGAAGACUUGCCCAAAUAACAAAUUGUCGGAACUUGCCUGCUGGCUCAGUGGUUAAGAAUCCGCCUCCCAAUGCAGGGGACAUGGGUUUGAGCCCUAGUCCGGGAACAUCCCACAUGCCGCGGAGCAACUAAGCCUGUGCGCCACAACUACUGAGCCUGCGCUCUAGAGCCCUCGAGCCACAACUACUGAGCCUGCGUGCUGCAACUACUGAAGUCCGCAUGCCUAGAGCCCGUGCUCUGCAACAAGAGAAGCCACCGCAAUGAAAAGCCUGCGCACCGCAGUGAAGAGUAGCCCCCGCGCGCCGCAACCAGAGAAAGCCCACGGGCAGCAA
Long non-coding RNA from Eubalaena glacialis (North Atlantic right whale), 1145 nucleotides. RefSeq lists it as uncharacterized. The transcript has 6 exons. The record is from RefSeq and is a predicted model, not a curated record. Lineage: Eukaryota; Metazoa; Chordata; Mammalia; Artiodactyla; Balaenidae.